UACGUAGGGUGCAAGCGUUGUCCGGAAUUAUUGGGCGUAAAGAGCUCGUAGGCGGUCUGUCGCGUCGGCUGUGAAAUCCCGAGGCUCAACCUCGGGUCUGCAGUCGAUACGGGCAAACUAGAGUAUUGCAGGGGAGACUGGAAUUCCUGGUGUAGCGGUGAAAUGCGCAGAUAUCAGGAGGAACACCGGUGGCGAAGGCGGGUCUCUGGGCAAUAACUGACGCUGAGGAGCGAAAGCGUGGGGAGCGAACAAG
This 253-nucleotide ribosomal RNA is filed under the name uncultured bacterium. Its description in RNAcentral is "partial 16S ribosomal RNA". It matches the Rfam family "Bacterial small subunit ribosomal RNA", at positions 524 to 776 of the family's 1533-position model. The record is from RNAcentral.